UGAUGCUUAAAGUGAUAGAUAAAAGUCAAUAUUUGAAGUGAUUGUCUGGUGGCUAAUACAGCAACUUUGUCAUAUGAGAUGCUCAGCAUUGGAACUCAACAGCAUAUAAGGGGAACACAUUGGCAGGAUGUUGAGCAGACACCAAGUGAGUAUCUGCAGUGAGGAGUGGAGAGCUGUGAUCAGGAAGACAGCAGCAGCUCAAUAACAGACAGAAGUGACUGACCUGUGUCUCUGACAGACCCCAUCAAAGCUUGACAAUGAAGUUGGCUCUUGCUUUCACCAUUAUCUGCUUGUGCAUUUCUCAUGCUGCAAAUGUUUACGGAAUGGGAACGGCAUCAACGACAACUCCAAAUCCGACAACAACUCCCAGUCCGACAACAACUCCCAGUCCGACAACAACUCCCAGUCCGACAACAACUCCCAGUCCGACAACAAUUCCAAACUCAGACUCAAGUGAGAGCAGUGAACAAUCUUCCGAUGAGUCUGAUUCCAGUGACUGAUAGUUGAGAUUGAAGAGGUGACAGGGUUGGAGUCAAGUCUGUUCCAGCCAGUAACCAUUGCUGGGUUGGGUCAGCUAGACUCUUGGAAGGAGCAAUGCAAAGCUGUAUUGGUUUCUUACUCUUUUAGUUGGCUGUGCAACUGUCUUAAUGUAACAAUUAUAUUCUUCAUGUAUUAAUGCAAUCUAUAAGGGUGUUGAGGUGUAUUCUGGCUUCGACUGUGUAUUGAUCUGGAUGGCAGAACCUUCAGUAAUACUGUUAUGCCUUAUAAACCGGCUUGUAGCAACUUAAAGCCAUAAUGAGAUGGGCAGACCUGCAGGGGCUGGGUGACAUCACUGUGAUAGUGGGCAGGUGAACCCUGUUCACAUUGACAUACCAGGGAGUGGGCACGAGUGCCUCAGCUGUGCGGUGAAAUGUCCACAGAUACUGAAAUGGAUGGACUCAGGGAAAGCAGCUCAGUUCAAGUCCCACCUGUCCCUGUUGUAUCUGAAGAGUUUAAUUCAAAAUCUCCACAGCAAAUGUCGUUCUGUUAAUGUCAGUCUGAACGUUGCUUUUC
Molecule: long non-coding RNA, 1053 nt
Organism: Hemiscyllium ocellatum (epaulette shark)
Lineage: Eukaryota; Metazoa; Chordata; Chondrichthyes; Orectolobiformes; Hemiscylliidae
Exons: 3
Source: RefSeq, a predicted model, not a curated record